GCCGCGUGAGGGAUGAAGGCCUUCGGGUUGUAAACCUCUUUCAGUAGGGAAGAAGCGAAAGUGACGGUACCUGCAGAAGAAGCGCCGGCUAACUACGUGCCAGCAGCCGCGGUAAUACGUAGGGUGCAAGCGUUGUCCGGAAUUAUUGGGCGUAAAGAGCUCGUAGGCGGUUUGUCGCGUCUGGUGUGAAAACUCAAGGCUCAACCUUGAGCUUGCUUACGGUACGGGCAGACUAGAGGGUGGUAGGGGUGAAUGGAAUUCCUGGUGUAGCGGUGAAAUGCGCAGAUAUCAAGAGGAACACCGGUGGCGAAGGCAGUUCACUGGGCCUUACCUGACGCUGAGGAGCGAAAGUGUGGGGAGCGAACAGGAUUAGAUACCCUGGUAGUCCAUGCCGUAAACGUUGGGCACUAGGUGUGGGACUCAUUCCACGAGUUCCGCGCCGCAGCUAACGCAUUAAGUGCCCCGCCUGGGGAGUACGGCCGCAAGGCUAAAACUCAAAGGAAUUGACGGGGGCCCGCACAAGCGGCGGAGCAUGCGGAUUAAUUCGAUGCAACGCGAAGAACCUUACCUGGGUUUGACAUACACCGGAAUCAUGUAGAGAUGUGUGCGUCUUCAGACU
Molecule: ribosomal RNA, 619 nt
Filed under: Sanguibacter sp. Ri3Ps_5327
Lineage: Bacteria; Bacillati; Actinomycetota; Actinomycetes; Micrococcales; Sanguibacteraceae
Description: bacterial SSU rRNA
Rfam family: Bacterial small subunit ribosomal RNA
Source: RNAcentral